Molecule: long non-coding RNA, 1133 nt
Organism: Prionailurus viverrinus (fishing cat)
Lineage: Eukaryota; Metazoa; Chordata; Mammalia; Carnivora; Felidae
Exons: 2
Source: RefSeq, a predicted model, not a curated record
GGGGGGCAGUGCCACGGUGGCGCUUGUCGGAAGAGGGAGGGGUGCAGAAAUCUCGCCCCGUCUAACUCCAAGGUGUCGGGGGAACGUGAGUGAUGACCCCUCCUUGCAUUAUCUGCUCCCGCUAAGAGACCCUGGCCGUUCCAGGUAAGUGCAAGAAGCAAAGGGGGGAAGGUCCUCUUGAGAUGGUGGCAACAUGUCCAGACUGACCAGUGACCUGAGGAGACAUGAAUGGUUCUGUUCAUUGGUCCCUGUGCACACAUCAUGUCUGUCUCUGUCUUUCUUUCUCCCCCUCCUCCCUCGUUGUUUCCUUCCAGCCCCAGUGAGGCAAAGGCAAAGAAAACCAAGGACGUCCCGGGGGUGGGAAACCUUGCAAGAGACAACAACUGUUCGCCACGGAGGCUGCUCUCACUCUGCCGUGUUGGUGCCCAUGCCACAGUGUGCUCAAAAUUGUGAAAAUACUUUCUCUUCCUUUUAUGAGUGAAAUAAUUCAUGCCAUCGUGUGGUUCUGUCACGGAAAAAAAAAAAAAAAAAAGAAAAGGGAACAGAGCACCUCAAGGAAAAUAACGUCUUCUGAAACAGUCAGAUGUGCGAGCCGGCGUUUUAAAAUCGCGGUUGCCAAUCAAAAACACCAACGAUGAUAUUCCCACCAACCUGGACUGGAAGGCCCGAUCCUUUCUCUCGAGCUCAAACCGCGCUGUGCAUUUUCACGGUAUCAUAUUUGUGUUCUGUGGCGUCUUCAGAAACUUGCAAAGUCAAAAGACAAAAGUCACUAAAUGUCUCAUUUCCCACUAGUUUCGUGGCGCAAACCAAAUCAACGCUCUCUUUUCUCCUCCCCACCACAUGACUAAUUCCCGUUUCAUGCUUCGGUGUGGAUGAAUGUCAACACGACACUCUCACCGAGAAGAUUUUAUGGUCGGGUGAAUGUCAAGCAAAUUUUGAAAUACAUUCUGAUUCCAUCUGGACAGAAGACAGCAGUGAGCACAACACAGCGUCUCAUCAGAAUAAACUCAACUUUUCUUUUUCCCCCAUCAUAGAAUUUAUGUUGUGAAGGUGGAAAGACAAUUUCCCCACAAAGAGGAGCCUGUGAUAAAGAAAAGCUUAUAUCCUUGAAUUAAAAAAAAUUUUUUUUUCAA